UAGUCCACGCCGUAAACGAUGAGAACUAGCCGUUGGGACCCUUGAGGUCUUAGUGGCGCAGCUAACGCGAUAAGUUCUCCGCCUGGGGAGUACGGCCGCAAGGUUAAAACUCAAAUGAAUUGACGGGGGCCCGCACAAGCGGUGGAGCAUGUUGUUUAAUUCGAUGCAACGCGAAGAACCUUACCACCCCUUGACAUCCUGCGAACUUUCUAGAGAUAGAUCGGUGCCUUCGGGAACGCAGUGACAGGUGCCGCAUGGCUGUCGUCAGCUCGUGUCGUGAGAUGAUGGGUUAAGUCCCGUAACGAGCGCAACCCUUGUCCUUAGUUGCCAGCGCGUAAUGGCGGGAACUCUAAGGAGACUGCCGGUGACAAACCGGAGGAAGGUGGGGACGACGUCAAGUCAUCAUGGCCCUUACGACCUGGGCUACACACGUGCUACAAUGGAACGCACAGAGGGCAGCAAACCCGCGAGGGGGAGCGAAUCCCACAAAACGUUUCGUAGUCCGGAUUGGAGUCUGCAACUCG
This 524-nucleotide ribosomal RNA is filed under the name uncultured bacterium. RNAcentral's name for it is "bacterial SSU rRNA". It matches the Rfam family "Bacterial small subunit ribosomal RNA", at positions 791 to 1314 of the family's 1533-position model. The record is from RNAcentral.